Molecule: long non-coding RNA, 275 nt
Filed under: Neodiprion lecontei (redheaded pine sawfly)
Lineage: Eukaryota; Metazoa; Arthropoda; Insecta; Hymenoptera; Diprionidae
Description: uncharacterized LOC124293092
Source: RNAcentral
CUAUUCCGCAUGACACUGCGGAAUUGCUUCGGCAAUUGCGGCAACGCUUGUCGGUCUGCGGGGCACGAUCACUCGCGCUGGUUCACGUCAGUGGAGUUUUUAAAGAUUUCGCGUGUUCGUCAAUUGAUGGCGGCAGAAUUCGACGACCGCACUGAAAUCGAUAUAUCACAAGCGUCAAGAAUAGUGCUGUCGCGACCGAGUCGAAUAGCAGUGAUCGAAAUUCGAGUGGAAAUGCGUGUUUGAUCGAAGCCUGAGGGAGAACGAGGAGAUGAGGG